Molecule: ribosomal RNA, 497 nt
Filed under: uncultured bacterium
Lineage: Bacteria
Description: partial 16S ribosomal RNA
Rfam family: Bacterial small subunit ribosomal RNA
Source: RNAcentral
AUUGAACGCUGGCGGCAUGCUCUACACAUGCAAGUCGAACGCGAAAGGGGGCAACCCUGAGUAGAGUGGCGCACGGGUGAGUAAUGCAUCGGAACGUGUCCUGUAGCGGGGGAUAACCUAGCGAAAGCUAGGCUAAUACCGCAUACGCCCUGAGGGGGAAAGUGGGGGAUCGCAAGACCUCACACUAUAGGAGCGGCCGAUGCCGGAUUAGCUAGUUGGUGGGGUAAAAGCUCACCAAGGCGACGAUCCGUAGCUGGUCUGAGAGGAUGAUCAGCCACACUGGGACUGAGACACGGCCCAGACUCCUACGGGAGGCAGCAGUGGGGAAUUUUGGACAAUGGGGGCAACCCUGAUCCAGCCAUGCCGCGUGAGUGAAGAAGGCCUUCGGGUUGUAAAGCUCUUUCGGCCGGGACGAAAUCGCAUGGGUGAAUAUCCUGUGUGGAUGACGGUACCGGAAUAAGAAGCACCGGCUAACUACGUGCCAGCCGCCGCGGUAA